RNAcentral lists this ribosomal RNA (534 nucleotides) under uncultured bacterium. Its description in RNAcentral is "bacterial SSU rRNA". It matches the Rfam family "Bacterial small subunit ribosomal RNA", at positions 338 to 872 of the family's 1533-position model. The record is from RNAcentral.
CCUACGGGAGGCAGCAGUAAGGAAUAUUGGUCAAUGGACGCAAGUCUGAACCAGCCAUGCCGCGUGAAGGAUGAAGGUCCUCUGGAUUGUAAACUUCUUUUAUAGGGGGCGAAAAAAGGGAAUUCUUUSUCACUUGACGGUACCUUAAGAAUAAGCACCGGCUAACUCCGUGCCAGCAGCCGCGGUAAUACGGAGGGUGCAAGCGUUAUCCGGAUUUACUGGGUUUAAAGGGUGCGCAGGCGGGCGAUUAAGUCAGUGGUGAAAUCUUCGAGCUUAACUCGGAAACUGCCGUUGAUACUAAUUGUCUUGAAUACUCGGGAGGUGAGCGGAAUAUGUCAUGUAGCGGUGAAAUGCUUAGAUAUGACAUAGAACACCGAUUGCGAAGGCAGCUCAAUACAGAGAUAUUGACGCUGAGGCACGAAAGCGUGGGGAUCAAACAGGAUUAGAUACCCUGGUAGUCCACGCCCUAAACGAUGAUUACUCGACAUACGCGAUACACAGUGUUUGUCCAAGCGAAAGCAUUAAGUAAUCCAC